This is a long non-coding RNA of Micropterus salmoides (largemouth bass), 695 nucleotides long. RefSeq lists it as uncharacterized. Lineage: Eukaryota; Metazoa; Chordata; Actinopteri; Centrarchiformes; Centrarchidae. The record is from RefSeq and is a predicted model, not a curated record. The transcript has 4 exons.
GCAAAAUUAGACACUCUAGUGGCUAUUAUUAAAUAACUAAUAAUUUGACCUAAGAGGAUCACACCUAUCCCAGCUAUGAAUCUGCUGGUUGUGAUUUGGUGCUUCACAGUAUUGUGUUCCUCCCUCCCUGUUUCUGAGGCGAAGAAACGGGUCAAACGCUCAGAUGAUAGUGAUGAGAUGUAUUACAUGCAGCCUCAGUUCCAGCCAUUUCCUGUACCCAUUCCAGUGCCAUUCCCAGGGCCUUUUGUUUUCCCAUUUGCCAUCCCGCCAGUUCCUCCACAGGUCAUCCCUCCACCUUUCAUCUUUCCACCUGUCAUCCCUCCAAUCGGAAAAUGAGACUGGCUGACUGGGAAAACCUGACUUUCGUGUACACUAACUCUAAAUAUUGUCUAGCUAAAAUGUCAAAAAUAAAUAAAGUAAUGUGUGAAUAAGUGAUUGACUUCCAUGUGUUUUGUUCAUCUCUUGUGAUCUCACGUCGUGCUACAACUACUACUGUAGCUAAUACUACAGUUGCUAGAACAGCAUUGAAUGACAGAUUUUUUUUUUUUACGUAAGCUUUGUUUUGCAUCAGUCAACUGUUUCUUUCUCUUUUAAAAUUCGAAUGAUGUUGUCUUAAACACUUUCAUACUCAUCAAUGUAGUACAAUUAAACAUGUGGAUCAAAAUCACUGUAUUCUCUGAAGUAUCUGCUAAAUA